The sequence is an unclassified non-coding RNA, 289 nucleotides long. It matches the Rfam family "Metazoan signal recognition particle RNA". From Rfam's summary of the family: The signal recognition particle (SRP) is a universally conserved ribonucleoprotein. The record is from Ensembl.
GCUAGGCUCUGUGGUGCAUGCCUGUAGUCCCAGCUACUCGGGAGGCUGAGGGUGGAGGAUCUCUUGAGCCCAGGAGUUCUGGACUGCAGUGCACUAAGCCAAUCCAGUGUCUGCACUAAGUUCAGCAUCAGUACGUUGACCUCCCCAGAAAUGAGGACCACCAGGUUGCCUAAGGAGGGGUGAACUGGCCCGGGUCGGAAACAGAGGUUAAAGCUCCCGUGCUGAUCAGUAGUGGGAUCAGUCUGUGAAUAGCCACUGCACACCAGCCUGGGCAGCAUCUCUUCUGUUU